Molecule: long non-coding RNA, 3245 nt
Filed under: Homo sapiens (human)
Lineage: Eukaryota; Metazoa; Chordata; Mammalia; Primates; Hominidae
Description: HSALNT0192719
Source: RNAcentral
CGGCAACAACUGGUACUGCUCCAGCUCCUGCACCAGCACCUGGGCCCUUCUCCAACACAGACCCGAACCAGGAAGAUCCGGAUAAAGACACUGUCUGCACUCUACUCAGAUGCCCUUUGAGUCUAUGCGCUGUUUCUGGGCUCAUCCUCCAGCCUCAACGUGUUUGCUGCCACACAGCAUGUCCUGUGGGACUGGAGAAAUAUGGAGAAUGCAGCACACUUGCUUCCUACUGAAAUUCAGAUAUACAUGAAAAUCAUUUUGCAUAAUGAAGGAUUAAAAUCAAAUUGUUUUGGGACAGCAGAGGAUGAAGAAACUCAUUUUGACUGAAGUUAUUGGAUGAGACAUGGCUGUGGACAACUUCAGAGAAGAUAUAUUUAAGCAGAACCUUAAACUUAUGUCAGAAUUUUUAAUCACCAGAGAUCAGCAAAGCCAAAGGCAUAUAGACUAUUUCUCAGAUGCACUUGUCAAGAUGAGAGAAUGUGGGCAGAGGAAAUCCCUGAAAAACCAGAUGGCAGAAGUUACUCAGAAGAAAUGAAAGGAUUUUCCAUUAUUCAAAUAGGAGGUGGAAGAGGAAGUGUGGGAGUAAUUACUGGAUUAAGAUCACUGAAAGACAAGAUUGUCUUUAAGGAAACAGAAGACUGAGAAGAAAAGAAGCUUGCUCAAGGUCACAUAGAGCUGGAAUUUAAAUUCAGAUCUAUUAUACUCUUAAGGACUGUGGAAGGUUCUAGAGGCUGGAAGUCGAAGAUCAAAUGCUGGCAAGGUCAAUUUGGAAAAUCCUGGUUUGUUAUCACAGUGCUUCUUAUUAACAUAUUUCCGAGUUCCUUCUUGAAUGAAGUUUGAGAAUUAAUCUUUUAUGGGAGGAGGUCUGUUUCAAGGAGGGCAGGUCUAUGCAAACCUUACACCAAAGUUUGAGGAAGCUGAAAGGCUGAAGAAAGAGGCUGACAAACCCAGUUUCUUAGGAGAAAACACUUAACAGAGACUUACAAACAAGAGCUAUGUUUGUGUCUCCAGCAGUGGUGAGACAAGAUGGUGGAUCUCCAUGCCAUUACCCCUCAGAACCAGGACUUAUCUACCACAGAGAAGGGGUUGUUCAGAAGGGAUGUAUAGGACAACUGAAGUAUGAUAACUUCGAGGUUGUUUGACCUAAGAACAGGAUUUGUAGUAAGUACCUGGUAUUACACAGGAACCAUAGAUAAACUGGAAAUCCUAGAGGCCCUCCCAGAACUAGGGUUAAUCAGAAGCCAACAUGGUGGAUUAGCAUCCAAAGUGGACUUGCUUUAGCCUCUACAGAGUCUCAAAAAUAAUGAAAUUCUCUUAAACUUUUGCAAUCUCUUUACGCAUAUGAAGAGAUAAUAAGCCAGGAAUAUCUCCUGUGCAUUGCAGAGACAUAAAGCCCUAGCAAAAGCUGCUCUACCCUUCCAUAUAUGUCCUUGACUUUGCAGCAUCACCAUCAUUGCCUAGUCAAUGUCUGGUCUUUUCUCUAAUUUCUCGUUUUGUUCUAAUUCCCAGUCUUUGGAAUAUCUAGACCUUGACAGAGAUUUAUAUACAUUUCAUGUGUUUCACCUAAGGUGGUUUGCAUUCUCUGCCACACAUGGGUUCAUAGGAGGUCACAGCCCUAAAAACAAUAACCUUUGAUGGGGUUCAGGACACACUACCCUAAAAUAUGCCACCUUGGCUUUGGAGCAAACAGCAGAAACAGGGAGAUCACUCUCACCUUCCCCUUACCCUUCUCCCUUUGUUACAGUAGGUAAUAGGCAGAUAUGAGCAGGGCAAGAAAGGGCUCCCCUCCACAACCAGGAAUGUCAAGCAACCAUCAGGUGAUGGUCAGGCGGUUGUUACACUGUCUCUCCAAAAUAAAAGUUGGUCACAGCUGGCACUAAGGAAUGGCAGUCUCCCAAUAGAUAGAAAAAAACCUGAAACUAGUGAACAGCAGCUUUCUGAUAAGAUCUCAGGAGUUGGGCAAGUGGGCUCAAGCAGGUGCACUAAGAGGCAAAAGGGCAAGGUUUAACUGGUACAUGAAGUUUUAGGGACAUUCAACUGGUAAGGGAAGGGCGCCUCAAGUGAGCAUGUGCACAACUCCAGUGAACACACCAUGCAUGCAGUCCCUCCCAAGUGCUGGCAGGCCGCUGUGCAUGCAGACAGCCCACCUCAAGGGAAGAAUCAGGGGAGACAUAACACAAGACCCUGGAUGCAUGCCACCAUAUAAAACCCCAAGCCAAAGGUCAAACCAGGCACUUAACUCUUUCAAGUCACCCACUUGGCCCUCUUCCAAGUGUACUUUACUUCCUUUUAAGAGGUGAAGCCAGCUGGGCUUCUGGGUCGGGUGGGGACUUGGAGAACUUUUGUGUCUAACUAAAGGAUUGUAAAUGCACCAAUCAGCGCUCUGUAUCUAGCUAAAGGAUUAUAAAUGCACCAAUCAGCACUCUGUAAAAUAGAACAAUCAGGAGGAUGUGGGUGGGGCCAAAUAAGGGAAUAAAAGCUGGCCACCCGAGCCAGCAGCGGCAACCUGCUCAGGUCCCCUUCCAUGCUGUGGAAGCUUUGUUCUUUUGCUCUUCACAAUAAAUCUUGCUGCUGCUCACUCUUUGGGUCCACACUACCUUUAUGAGCUGUAACACUCACUGCGAGGGUCUGCGGCUUCAUUCCUGAAGUCAGUGAGAUCACGAACCUGCCGGAAGGAACAAACAACUCCGUAUGCACCACCUUUGAGAGCUGUAACCCUCACUGCGAAGGUCUGCAGCUUCACUCCUGAAGUCAGCGAGACCAAAAACCCACCAGAAGGAAGAAACUCCAGACUCAUCUGAACAUCUGAAGGAACAAACUCUGGACACACCAUCUUUAAGAACUGUAACACUCACCGCAAGGGUCCGCAGCUUCAUUCUUGAAGUCAGUGCGACCAAGAACCCACCGGAAGGAACAAAUUCCAGACACACUUUCAUUCCUGCCCUGAAACUUUUUAAUAAACUUUCACUCCUGCUCUAAAACUUGCCUCAGUCUCUCACUCUGCCUUAUGUCCCAUUGGUCAAAUUAUUUCUUCUGAGGAGGCAAGAAUUGAGGUUGCUGCAGAACCGUACAGAUUCACUGCCACUAACACCCUGAAGCAGGUCAUAAAACCUUCAUUCUAGAGUUGCCCCCUGUACCCAAUGAAAAGAAGUAUUCUUAUCCUUGAAGCCACAGAGGUGCCAAGAAGAAUCUGAAAAAAAGACAUUGUUAAAGUCCCCGGUUUAUUACCAUUAGAUCAUACCUCC